This 554-nucleotide ribosomal RNA is filed under the name beta proteobacterium KIN109. Its description in RNAcentral is "bacterial SSU rRNA". It matches the Rfam family "Bacterial small subunit ribosomal RNA", at positions 101 to 651 of the family's 1533-position model. Lineage: Bacteria; Pseudomonadati; Pseudomonadota; Betaproteobacteria. The record is from RNAcentral.
AACGGGUGAGUAAUAUAUCGGAACGUGCCCAGUCGUGGGGGAUAACGUAGCGAAAGCUACGCUAAUACCGCAUACGAUCUAUGGAUGAAAGCGGGGGAUCGCAAGACCUCGCGCGAUUGGAGCGGCCGAUAUCAGAUUAGGUAGUUGGUGAGGUAAAGGCUCACCAAGCCGACGAUCUGUAGCUGGUCUGAGAGGACGACCAGCCACACUGGGACUGAGACACGGCCCAGACUCCUACGGGAGGCAGCAGUGGGGAAUUUUGGACAAUGGGCGCAAGCCUGAUCCAGCAAUGCCGCGUGCAGGAUGAAGGCCUUCGGGUUGUAAACUGCUUUUGUACGGAACGAAACGGUGAGCUCUAAUACAGUUUGCUAAUGACGGUACCGUAAGAAUAAGCACCGGCUAACUACGUGCCAGCAGCCGCGGUAAUACGUAGGGUGCGAGCGUUAAUCGGAAUUACUGGGCGUAAAGCGUGCGCAGGCGGUGAUGUAAGACAGAUGUGAAAUGCCCGGGCUCAACCUGGGACCUGCAUUUGUGACUGCAUCGCUAGAGUACGG